Molecule: unclassified non-coding RNA, 340 nt
Organism: Fukomys damarensis (Damara mole-rat)
Lineage: Eukaryota; Metazoa; Chordata; Mammalia; Rodentia; Bathyergidae
Gene: 7SK
Rfam family: 7SK RNA
About the family: 7SK was discovered as an abundant small nuclear RNA in the mid-70s but a possible function has only recently been suggested. Two independent studies have found that 7SK RNA binds the CDK9/cyclin T complex (known as elongation factor P-TEFb).
Source: Ensembl
GGAUGUGAGGGUGAUCUGGCUACAACAUCUGUCAUUCUAUUGGUUGUCAGGGUUGGUUUGACUGAUCUGGCUGGCUAGGCAGGUAUCCCUGUCCUCCCUCACUACAUGUGUGUCCAUUCUGAAGCUGCAUGCCUAGUUGAAGAGGAGGACCACCCCAAUAGAGCAGGACUGUUUUCUUGGUCAAGGGUAUUGGACUAGCUGUGCUCCCUGAUAGAACUUCUGAACAAGCUCUUAAGACUUGCAAAUCUAGCUUUUCAUGUGCCAUUGUAUUACUUCUAUUAGACAUAUCAAAAGGAAACUAAAAAAAAAAAUUACUAAUGUGUGGGUAUGUUAUAUCCUC